This 71-nucleotide transfer RNA is filed under the name Camelus bactrianus (Bactrian camel). It matches the Rfam family "tRNA". Rfam says of the family: Transfer RNA (tRNA) molecules are approximately 80 nucleotides in length. Their secondary structure includes four short double-helical elements and three loops (D, anti-codon, and T loops). The record is from Rfam by way of RNAcentral. RNAcentral also lists the same sequence under 2 other names. Lineage: Eukaryota; Metazoa; Chordata; Mammalia; Artiodactyla; Camelidae.
GAGGGUGUAGCUCAGGGGCACAGCAUGUGCUUAGAUGCACAAGGUCCUGGGUUCAAUCCCCAGUACCUCCA